GACGGAGGAUGCAAGCGUUAUCCGGAAUGAUUGGGCGUAAAGCGUCCGCAGGUGGCAGUUCAAGUCGGGUGUGAAAUCCCCAGGCUUAACCUGGGAACUGCAUUCGAGACUGCAUUGCUAGAGUAUGGGAGAGGGAAGUGGAAUUUCCGGUGUAGCGGUGAAAUGCGUAGAUAUCGGAAGGAACAUCAGUGGCGAAAGCGACUUCCUGGACCAAUACUGACGCUCAUGUGCGAAAGCGUGGGGAGCAAACAGG
This 253-nucleotide ribosomal RNA is filed under the name uncultured bacterium. RNAcentral's name for it is "partial 16S ribosomal RNA". It matches the Rfam family "Bacterial small subunit ribosomal RNA", at positions 524 to 776 of the family's 1533-position model. The record is from RNAcentral.